This 276-nucleotide ribosomal RNA is filed under the name uncultured bacterium. RNAcentral describes it as "partial 16S ribosomal RNA". It matches the Rfam family "Bacterial small subunit ribosomal RNA", at positions 82 to 354 of the family's 1533-position model. The record is from RNAcentral.
CCGUUGCCGGCGACCGGCGCACGGGUGAGUAACACGUAUGCAACCUGCCCGUGGCAGGGGGAUAAGCGGGGGAAACCCCGUCUAAUACCGCGUAACGCGGCCUAGGGACAUCCCAAGGCCGCCAAAGGGAGCAAUCCCGGCCACGGAUGGGCAUGCGGCGCAUUAGCUAGUCGGCGGGGUAACGGCCCACCGAGGCGACGAUGCGUAGGGGUUCUGAGAGGAACGGCCCCCACACUGGUACUGAGACACGGACCAGACUCCUACGGGAGGCAGCAG